This 646-nucleotide ribosomal RNA is filed under the name Paenibacillus validus. RNAcentral describes it as "bacterial SSU rRNA". It matches the Rfam family "Bacterial small subunit ribosomal RNA", at positions 56 to 691 of the family's 1533-position model. Lineage: Bacteria; Bacillati; Bacillota; Bacilli; Caryophanales; Paenibacillaceae. The record is from RNAcentral.
UGCAAGUCGAGCGGACUAUAUCCUUCGGGAUAGGUUAGCGGCGGACGGGUGAGUAACACGUAGGCAACCUGCCUGUAAGAUCGGGAUAACUACCGGAAACGGUAGCUAAGACCGGAUAGCUGGUUUCUCCGCAUGGGGGAAUCAUGAAACAUGGGGCAACCUGUGGCUUACGGAUGGGCCUGCGGCGCAUUAGCUAGUUGGUGGGGUAAUGGCCCACCAAGGCGACGAUGCGUAGCCGACCUGAGAGGGUGAUCGGCCACACUGGGACUGAGACACGGCCCAGACUCCUACGGGAGGCAGCAGUAGGGAAUCUUCCGCAAUGGGCGCAAGCCUGACGGAGCAACGCCGCGUGAGUGAUGAAGGUUUUCGGAUCGUAAAGCUCUGUUGCCAAGGAAGAACGCCUCGGAGAGUAACUGCUCUGAGGGUGACGGUACUUGAGAAGAAAGCCCCGGCUAACUACGUGCCAGCAGCCGCGGUAAUACGUAGGGGGCAAGCGUUGUCCGGAAUUAUUGGGCGUAAAGCGCGCGCAGGCGGUCUUUUAAGUUUGGUGUUUAAGCCCGGGGCUCAACCCCGGUUCGCACUGAAAACUGGGAGACUUGAGUGCAGGAGAGGAAAGCGGAAUUCCACGUGUAGCGGUGAAAUGCGU